GAUGAACGCUGGCGGCGUGCUUAACACAUGCAAGUCGAACGGGAUCCCAGGAGCUUGCUCCUGGGUGAGAGUGGCGAACGGGUGAGUAAUGCGUGACCGACCUGCCCCAUACACCGGAAUAGCUCCUGGAAACGGGUGGUAAUGCCGGAUGCUCCAGUUGGAUGCAUGUCCUUCUGGGAAAGAUUCUAUCGGUAUGGGAUGGGGUCGCGUCCUAUCAGCUUGAUGGCGGGGUAACGGCCCACCAUGGCUUCGACGGGUAGCCGGCCUGAGAGGGCGACCGGCCACAUUGGGACUGAGAUACGGCCCAGACUCCUACGGGAGGCAGCAGUGGGGAAUAUUGCACAAUGGGCGCAAGCCUGAUGCAGCGACGCCGCGUGCGGGAUGACGGCCUUCGGGUUGUAAACCGCUUUUGACUGGGAGCAAGCCCUUCGGGGUGAG
RNAcentral lists this ribosomal RNA (438 nucleotides) under uncultured bacterium. Its description in RNAcentral is "bacterial SSU rRNA". It matches the Rfam family "Bacterial small subunit ribosomal RNA", at positions 28 to 473 of the family's 1533-position model. The record is from RNAcentral.